RNAcentral lists this ribosomal RNA (465 nucleotides) under Vreelandella stevensii. Its description in RNAcentral is "partial 16S ribosomal RNA". It matches the Rfam family "Bacterial small subunit ribosomal RNA", at positions 338 to 795 of the family's 1533-position model. Lineage: Bacteria; Pseudomonadati; Pseudomonadota; Gammaproteobacteria; Oceanospirillales; Halomonadaceae. The record is from RNAcentral.
CCUACGGGAGGCAGCAGUGGGGAAUAUUGGACAAUGGGGGGAACCCUGAUCCAGCCAUGCCGCGUGUGUGAAGAAGGCCCUCGGGUUGUAAAGCACUUUCAGUGAGGAAGAACGCCUGGUGGUUAAUACCCAUCAGGAAAGACAUCACUCACAGAAGAAGCACCGGCUAACUCCGUGCCAGCAGCCGCGGUAAUACGGAGGGUGCGAGCGUUAAUCGGAAUUACUGGGCGUAAAGCGCGCGUAGGUGGCUUGAUAAGCCGGUUGUGAAAGCCCCGGACUCAACCUGGGAACGGCAUCCGGAACUGUCAAGCUAGAGUGCAGGAGAGGAAGGUAGAAUUCCCGGUGUAGCGGUGAAAUGCGUAGAGAUCGGGAGGAAUACCAGUGGCGAAGGCGGCCUUCUGGACUGACACUGACACUGAGGUGCGAAAGCGUGGGUAGCAAACAGGAUUAGAUACCCUAGUAGUC